Molecule: ribosomal RNA, 484 nt
Filed under: uncultured bacterium
Lineage: Bacteria
Description: partial 16S ribosomal RNA
Rfam family: Bacterial small subunit ribosomal RNA
Source: RNAcentral
AUUGAACGCUGGCGGCAGGCCUAACACAUGCAAGUCGAGCGGAUGAAGGGAGCUUGCUCCUGGAUUCAGCGGCGGACGGGUGAGUAAUGCCUAGGAAUCUGCCUGGUAGUGGGGGAUAACGUCCGGAAACGGGCGCUAAUACCGCGUACGUCCUGAGGGAGAAAGUGGGGGAUCUUCGGACCUCACGCUAUCAGAUGGGCCUAGGUCGGAUUAGCUAGUUGGUGGGGUACAGGCCUACCAAGGCGACGAUCCGUAACUGGUCUGAGAGGAUGAUCAGUCACACUGGAACUGAGACACGGUCCAGACUCCUACGGGAGGCAGCAGUGGGGAAUAUUGGACAAUGGGCGAAAGCCUGAUCCAGCCAUGCCGCGUGUGUGAAGAAGGUCUUCGGAUUGUAAAGCACUUUAAGUUGGGAGGAAGGGCAGUAAGUUAAUACCUUGCUGUUUUGACGUUACCAACAGAAUAAGCACCGGCUAACUUCGUG